RNAcentral lists this ribosomal RNA (301 nucleotides) under uncultured bacterium. RNAcentral describes it as "partial 16S ribosomal RNA". It matches the Rfam family "Bacterial small subunit ribosomal RNA", at positions 509 to 807 of the family's 1533-position model. The record is from RNAcentral.
CAGUAGCCGCGGGAAUACGAAGGGGGCUAGCGUUGUUCGGAUUUACUGGGCGUAAAGCGCACGUAGGCGAAUCGAUCAGUCAGGGGUGAAAUCCCAGAGCUCAACUCUGGAACUGCCUUUGAUACUGUCGAUCUGGAGUAUGGAAGAGGUGAGUGGAAUUCCGAGUGUAGAGGUGAAAUUCGUAGAUAUUCGGAGGAACACCAGUGGCGAAGGCGGCUCACUGGUCCAUUACUGACGCUGAGGUGCGAAAGCGUGGGGAGCAAACAGGAUUAGAUACCCCAGUAGUCCCUGUCUCUUAUAC